This 388-nucleotide ribosomal RNA is filed under the name uncultured bacterium. Its description in RNAcentral is "bacterial SSU rRNA". It matches the Rfam family "Bacterial small subunit ribosomal RNA", at positions 100 to 524 of the family's 1533-position model. The record is from RNAcentral.
CACGGGUGCGUAACGCGUGGGAAUCUGCCCCUGGGUUCGGAAUAACAGUUAGAAAUGACUGCUAAUACCGAAUGAUGACGUAAGUCCAAAGAUUUAUCGCCCAGGGAUGAGCCCGCGUAGGAUUAGCUAGUUGGUGGGGUAAAGGCCUACCAAGGCGACGAUCCUUAGCUGGUCUGAGAGGAUGAUCAGCCACACUGGGACUGAGACACGGCCCAGACUCCUACGGGAGGCAGCAGUGGGGAAUAUUGGACAAUGGGCGAAAGCCUGAUCCAGCAAUGCCGCGUGAGUGAUGAAGGCCUUAGGGUUGUAAAGCUCUUUUACCCGGGAUGAUAAUGACAGUACCGGGAGAAUAAGCUCCGGCUAACUCCGUGCCAGCAGCCGCGGUAAU